This 253-nucleotide ribosomal RNA is filed under the name uncultured bacterium. RNAcentral describes it as "partial 16S ribosomal RNA". It matches the Rfam family "Bacterial small subunit ribosomal RNA", at positions 524 to 776 of the family's 1533-position model. The record is from RNAcentral.
UACGUAGGGGGCAAGCAUUGUCCGGAUUUAUUGGGCGUAAAGAGCGUGUAGGCGGCCAGACAGGUCCGUUGUGAAAACUCGAGGCUCAACCUCGAGAUGUCGAUGGAAACCGUCUGGCUAGAGUCCGGAAGAGGAGUGUGGAAUUCCUGGUGUAGCGGUGAAAUGCGCAGAUAUCAGGAAGAACACCUAUGGCGAAGGCAGCACUCUGGGACGGUACUGACGCUGAGACGCGAAAGCGUGGGGAGCGAACAGG